This 591-nucleotide ribosomal RNA is filed under the name Dujonia zeylanoides. RNAcentral's name for it is "eukaryotic LSU rRNA". It matches the Rfam family "Eukaryotic large subunit ribosomal RNA", at positions 71 to 664 of the family's 3401-position model. Lineage: Eukaryota; Fungi; Ascomycota; Pichiomycetes; Serinales; Debaryomycetaceae. The record is from RNAcentral.
GGGAUUGCCUCAGUAACGGCGAGUGAAGCGGCAAAAGCUCAAAUUUGAAAUCUAGCACUUUCAGUGUUCGAGUUGUAAUUUGAAGAAGGUAACUUUGGUUUUGGCUCUUGUCUAUGUUCCUUGGAACAGGACGUCACAGAGGGUGAGAAUCCCGUGCGAUGAGAUGCCCAAUUCCAUGUAAAGUGCUUUCGAAGAGUCGAGUUGUUUGGGAAUGCAGCUCUAAGUGGGUGGUAAAUUCCAUCUAAAGCUAAAUAUUGGCGAGAGACCGAUAGCGAACAAGUACAGUGAUGGAAAGAUGAAAAGAACUUUGAAAAGAGAGUGAAAAAGUACGUGAAAUUGUUGAAAGGGAAGGGCUUGAGAUCAGACUUGGUAUUUUGCGUUCCCUUCCUUUUUGGUUGGGUUCCUCGCAGUUUACUGGGCCAGCAUCGGUUUGGAUGGUAGGAUAAUGACAUUGGAAUGUAGCUUUACUUCGGUGAAGUGUUAUAGACUUUGUUGAUACUGCCUAUCUAGACCGAGGACUGCGUCUUUGACUAGGAUGCUGGCGUAAUGAUCUUAAGCCGCCCGUCUUGAAACACGGACCUCCUGUGUGAA